Falco peregrinus (peregrine falcon) is the source of this 12128-nucleotide long non-coding RNA. RefSeq lists it as uncharacterized. The record is from RefSeq and is a predicted model, not a curated record. The transcript has 2 exons. NCBI's taxonomy places the organism in Eukaryota, Metazoa, Chordata, Aves, Falconiformes, Falconidae.
UAUGCUGCGCAGCUGCUACACCACAUGAAAUUAAAAGAGUACAAUUUACCUGCAGCACUGCAAACCAGCAUCAGUGAGCAAAAGUGAACCUGCUGAUGAAAUUCAGUACAUUCAAAAUCCAUUACUGAAUUGAAAGGGAAAGUAUUGUGUAUAGAAGUAGCUCAUGGGCUGUAUACCCUUCUUCAGUUAAUUUGAGGUUUGAUUUCAAUAAUGAAACAAGGCACAGUAUGUUUCAACUAGCCAAAAUAGGGAAGAAUCAGACUGCAAUAAGAGAAAGUUUCAGCAAGAUUUUUAGAAUGACGCAUGAUGACAUAUGUUAAACAUUAAGCUUCACCAAUAUUAAGCAUUUAGGUUAGUGCUGAGUCCUCAGUCCUCAAAGGAUUCUCAGUCCACUCGCACAAAGGAAAGAAGCACGAGAAGACAGGAAAUACAUACAUCCAGCAGCUAGAGGCUGAAUGCUCUCCCGUCAGGGUACCGGUAAAGACAAGUCUCCCCUAGCCAAAACCAGAGAAAGGAUCUUGUGGAGUUGCCUUCAACUGUUCAAGGCGCCUAGAAGAGCAGUGCUACUUGUCACCUGAUAAUAAUGAUGAGAAUCGCAGAAUAGGUGAGACUGGAAGGGAUUGUGAUGAUGAAAAUGAUGGUGGUUGUUCCCACCACACAAAACCAUAGCAAUUAGGUCCAGGGUUGCAAAGAACUUUAUGCUCAGUAUGUUAUUGCGUAAUUAUAUCCUCAUCCUAUUAUCAAACCUAUCCAGCCACCAAAUUUGUCUAAGUUGUUAUAUGAUAUCAUGCCAUAAUUACUGAGCAGCUUAAUGAUUUUGAGCACUGAAGAAAGAAAGUUUCAGCACUUUUAAUCUGCCAACAUCCUUUGAGUGAGAAAGUUCUGUUUUCCUCAUUUUAUACCUGCAAAAUGGAGUCAUAGAAAUGGAAGAUCGCUUUUUGAACCCUGGUCACCAUGAGAUGUGCACAGGCAUUUAAUAACAUAGUCAAGAGUGCCAGCAAAACCCUACUGAAAUCAUUAGGAAGUUGACACAUACAGUUCCUAGCAGUACUUUUUUGCAAUCUCAUUAAGGACUUGUCUGCCUCCGAAACCUCUAAUCCCCAGUAACAGAAAUCACUGCUUGGAGGAGAGAAUGAUGAUGGAAUCAGGUGUUUGCUGCCAGCAAAUAAGUCUGUGUACAAAGCACAGGCAAAGUGUAUUUUUCUACAGCAUGUGGAUGGGCUGUCCAAUUCCCAAGUUGGUCUCUGGCAGCAAGUCUUGUCUGGUGGGGUCUUACCUUGCCCCUUUUCUGGGCCAUUCUCUGUCUGUCAGUACUACUUGCAGACUUUUCUGGAUGUUUGUAUGCAUGCAGGCGUGUCCAAACCCCAUCCAUGUCCCAGCUGCUCUAUUGCCAGUCACCGUUGGCCCUUUCUACAUGACACCCUGCCCUGCUAAUGCUGCAGUGUCUCCCACCAUCAUGCCCCGCUAAGAAACAGCAGUUGUUUUCAGUUUAAAUAUCAACGAAUGAAAACUCCUUUUGGCGUGCAGUUCUUACCCUCCCACAUAACACUUCUGGCAGAGCUGGCCUUAGUGGCUUACCGUGGUGUCCUGGCUGUGGUGGAAGCGUGCGAUAUCCGCUGGGGACACCCAGGCUGCUGGCACGCUGCCUCCUCCCGUACGGCUAUAUGUGGCCUGUGUAUCACUUUCCACAAGCAAGGGGACGACAGACCCAAAGGAGAAUGACACAAAAGGACCUGUAACAGCUUAGGAAAGCCAAGUGGCUUGUGGUUAGUUCCCUAAACACCAAUUUAGAAACUUGAAGGUAGGCACUCCAGAGCUUUUAGCCACAGGCUUCUGUCUGCUUAGACAUUCCCAUUCAUAUUCUGUGAUAGAUAGACAGACAUUAUUUAGGGAGAACAAAAUGUCCUAUUACCACAGGAUUCUAUAAAUCCUGCCUGUCUUCUGGGAAGUUCAGAUUGAAAGAAAAGCUGGAUGUAACUAUCCUAAAGCAUUAAAUAUUUAUGAAAAAUAUUUAUCACAGCAUUUUACGUGCAGUUGUGCAAUAUACUUUUGUGACUUUGCUCCCAAGGCACUUCUUUUAUAUGUUUAAGUUGUUGACAAAUGGCAUGAUGCUUUGCAGCAGCAAAAGAUCUCCCCUCCAGCCCCCCAAAUGAACUCCCUAAGACGUAUUUCUUCUGCUUCAUGUUAAAGCAGAAAACCAAAUUUUCACCUCAUCAUUUUGUAUUGAAGUGGUUUUGGUUAUGAAAGUAGAAUAAUCAAGAAAACUAUUUUAAAUAGCCUCACUAAACUACAGAGGAAAUUAGAUUGUCUGCUGAGUUUGAAAAUCUGUCUGUAAUUAGACUUAAAUAUCACUCUUUUCAGUGCAUUUUAGCAUUUCUGCAGACUGUAGUCCUUAUGAAGUAUAUAGUUUCAGAGUAUAGCCUUCCUUUUAUGAAAAUUAUGACCCUGUGGCAUGCUUUCAGGAGAGUAUGUCUUUAUACUAGCUAUAAAAGAUAAUCUAAUAGUUGAUGCAGUUGUUGACUAGUUUCCUCUCAUUCCUGUAGCAUAAUGUGUUAUCAUUUUCUUUUCUCUAUGUAUUGUUGAGUGCUGUAUGUUAGGGAGGAAAAUAUUUCACCUGUAGCUAAGGAUAGUACAUAAUUUUACUAUAAAUGUCUCUAUUUCAUAUUUUACAAGUGAUGUUUGCAUAUAUGAAGUGCUAUUUACUCAAUACAAACAAUAGUGGAAUUUCAGCAGGUUUAAUAUUUUCUUUUAUUCUGUGGUCUUACUGCAUAAAUAAAUGAAAAAAGGUUAUUAGUAUGAGAGAGAUUUAUAUGGCUGUGCUUUUGUAGAAAAGAUGCUAGCAGACCAGGUGUUGUUGGGUUUUUUCAUUGUCUGUAAUACCACAAUAAUGCCAUCACUUACAAAGUUAGGGUUUUACUUGUCCACUUGUGAUGGCUUUUUCCAAAUUAAGGCUUGUUUUUUGGAAAAGAAACUGAAGAGUAAAAGCUGACUUAUAAAGAAACGGUUGACGUGAUAUUGGGAUUUCAUCUAGUUAUCAAGACAUUGCUGUGCUUUAAUGCCUUCUGGGUACACCUACAGUGCAUAGUCUGUGAACAGGGUGGAUAGCUGGGGAGGGACCGGGGGGAACUGUUGUAUCCCCGACCACCUCGGCUCUCUGCCAUGUGUCCUGGUGAUGUGCACUCCUGUAGCAGCAGCUGCAGUGCUGGGAAGCCUCCGUGAUCCUUUCCUCCUCAUCUUCCAGUCCGCUUCUAACACUUGAUCAGCUCAGGUAUGGCCCCCAAAUCAGCCUGUGAGCGGUGACAGGGAGUGGAGUGAAUGGGGAGUACAGACGUGUAAGAUCAGAUCAUGAGCCAGCAUUGAUCAGAGUAAACAACACCGGCAUAGGUGGCUUAUCCCACCUGCAGGUUAGAUGUGGGUGCCUGCAUAUCUGAGAGCAGAGCUGCACACCCACCCCACCCCAACACCACGUACUGCUCAUUCUCAGCUGUUCAGCCACUGCUGGAUUUGUGUUUAAACCAAUCAAAAUGUAAUGCAGCAGAAAUAUUUUCCCUUCAGAACCUCCAAUUUCCAGAAGAAACAGUUGUCUUUGUUAUCCAGGAAUAAACUCUAAAAAUCAUACCUUAGCUCAAAUGAGUUCUGACUGUCCGUGAAACUUUCACCUAAUUAAACUGUUAACUUCAAACUGUGGCAUAGCAAGGAAAAAAGAACAUGUUUUACAUUAGAUAGGCAAGGCAGCAUCUCCCAUUGUAGCACAUUUUGUACCAUGCAAUGGUGGGUUCAGAUAUUUCAAAUCUAAUUAGGACAUAUAGAGUGGACCUUCACUAAAUUUUCACAUGAGUAAAGCCAUCGUUUCCAGUGUGAGCAGCUCAGGUGACCCGGCCUGCCUGGCCCUCCUGGCUUCCAGACAAUGUGGCUGGAUGAAACAAUGCAAUUCCUUUUAUUGAGAACUCCUGGCUCCAAAGAUCUGUCACUGCAAAGAGCCAUGGGAACAAAUCAUGUGUCAGCCUAAAAAAUCAAUAUUGAAGAACAAAUUGAACUAUAAUAGUGUGUCUGUCUGGUUAUUUAAAAAUAGAUAACACAGAAAACGCAAAGGACAGGAAGCAGCCAGGAGAGGUUUACAGAGAUGGCUCAAAGGUGGAAAAACUGAAAACAUACUUCUCCUUCCAGAAACAGCCUGGCUUAAUACUCACUGAAACCAAAGAAGUGGUUCCUUCCCUUGACUUUGUAUCUCUUCUGUGUGUCUUUGCAAACACAGACAGUAUCUAAUUUCCCUUUUUACCUAUGUGCUCAUGCCAAGACCCAUUAAUAUUGCCCAAAGAAGGUAAAGGGAAGGGACUGGGACAUGUAGCAAUCUAGCCUUCAGACCACAAACUCUGAAGGAAAUGGAGCACAACAGAUCUGUCAACAAAUAGGGUGAGCUAAGAUUUUCCCAAGAGGCCUUAAUAAAUCUAUGAUAGAAUUAGAGACACAUGCAAAAGGUUCUACAGAAAAUCACGACUGAAACCUCUGAACUGUUACGGAUAUCCUGUGGUGAGAGUUGUGGGACUUCCUGUAACAUUCUAAAGGAGAAGAUGCAACUCUCCUUUAAAUUCCACAGUGUGCUUUGAAAGCCUGCAAGGGUUAUCAUUUUCUAACAAAUAUUGUUGUAUUGAGCGGUUCUUUUAAAAUGCUCUUUAAAAGAAAAAAAAUAGUGAAAAGAAAAAAAAGAAAAAAAAUUUGGAAAGCAAAGUUUUCACUAUCAAGAAAAAGUAGAAAGGAGACAGAAGAAAAAAUUUAGUAUGCAUGUAUCCAUAAGUGUGAAUAUUGUGAAACUCAAGAAUUGACAAAGAAACAAAUAAAUAACAUUAAUGAAUUGCCAACAGAGGUCUACAAAUAACUACACAUUAAAAGCUUUUAAAAGUGGCUUGGUGAAGUUCUAAGAGAUAUCGCUAAACCUUGCUGUCUCAAUUACCUCCCAAAACUACGGAAACCAAAACCUGUAUUUACAAAUACUGCUGUUUUCUAUCUGUCCCAGCAGCUCAGAAGGCAGAAAUAUUCUUUACAACCAGAACUAAAGCUCUUUGUAUGUCUUCUGGAUUUUCCAUCUUGGACAAUAUCACAAGGAUUGUUUUGUGAUUCCUGCUGAUUUGUGAUUCCUGCUGAACAGCAUGUAUGCAAAUGUUAAGCUUGCGUGUAGAAGCCACGUCGUAACUUUGAGAUGGCUUUGUGCCGGAGCUGGUAAGACCUGCAAGUGCACUGUUAGAUAUUAAGUCUCCCUGUGAAACCAGCUCAACGUGUGUGUUUCUGCUCUGCAGCACCAAGUCUGAUGAGCCAAAACACUGUGAACAUCUGUUGCUUUAUAAUCACUGAGCUUUACUCAUGGUUCAGCGUAGAACUAAACUUACUUUCUGGUAAGAUGGCAGCUUGCCUAUAAUUAUGUAUUCUUUAUCCUUUCCCAGAGCAUCUUUUUGGUUUUCUUCUUGGUAAGGAAAGUUUAAGCGUUGUACUUCGGUAGUGAUUCCCAGUGAGGAACCUGGGCAGCUUGGUGGUAGCUUCAGUAAGUUCUUACAAAGCAUGAUUGUUUAAGGUAUGAUAAAAUGCUUGCUGUCUACACAAUCUGAGAAAAACUAGCUGUGAUGAAUGGAUAAGCCUCACAUUUUGUGUGCUGGUAUUUUGCUGCCUGGAAGUAAGUCUGUUUGGGCUUUGAAACUCUGUCUAUAUGAUCCUGUAUACACUUAAGGGAAAAAGAACUGAUACUACAGUUAUUUGUACAUUAGCCUGCAAUUAUUUUUUUCUUGGAGAAAAAUGUCCCUUUAUUCAUGGGAACACCUGUGAAAAUGAAUGGCUCCAGGGGAUAAUAACAGCCACUAAAAAGUUGGUAUUUGGGCUUGUCGAAUUCCUGACACUUUCGUUGGGUAAACAUCUUCUGAGAGCUAGACUCACGGGAAUAAACCUUGCUGGGUGCCAUAUCAGAGUGGGUAGGUCUUCUCUAGAAAACAACUUUGAAAUGCUAAUAAUUUUUGAAAGCUAUUUUAUGAAUUAUUCCUAGAGUCAUUCUGUGCAGCUGCUCUGUUUCUUGUCAAGGGGUUUGUCCCCAUUGGGAACCUAUGGGCUCCAGCUAUUGACCAGCUCUUCCUGAGAGCCCGGCCAGGGGGUUCCCUUUGGGAAGGGCUGAUCCAGUACCAGUGCCCUGAGCGCUGCGCUUGCCAGCUCCUGGCUCAGUGGUUGUCAGAAGCUCCUGGCUGCCAGCGAGAAACUUAAGUAAUGAAUUUCCUCCUGAAGAGACUUUCCUGAACCAGCUGAAAUAAAUGAAGUAUAUUAGCUUGUUUUACAAGAAGUCCAUCUUGCUUUCACUGAACUAAUUACCCUGCAGUCAUAUAGCUGGUUAUGCUUUUCUAAUGCAUUGUGAAAUCUGUCGAAUUGGGAACCAGGGUAAUUAUGACACCUCAGGUUCAUUUGUGUUUAAAAGCAGGGACUGCUUUUACAGCUCACAUUUCAUCAGAGAAAGAGCAUUUUAUAAACACCGGUACCUCUCAGAAGAGUUGGAUGAGUGUAUAAAUUACUAAUAAGACCUAUUCUUACAUUUGAACAUUAUACACUGUCUUUUCUUCUCAAAAUGUUUUCCAAAUAUACAAAUACACUGCAAGCUCCAUUCGAUGUGGCACUAUAUACAGCAACCCAGUAGGCUUUAGGGUAGGAAGUGAAACUGUAGCUGCCAGUGAAAAUGACAGAAACCAUUCUGAGAUGCAAAAAAUAAAUACUGAAGUUAGAAUUUGGCUAGGAUAUGAAAGCUAAAACCUGCGCUCUCUUGGAAAUUAAAUUAUGCCAUUUUUAAUGACUGCAGUGUCAAGGGUGUUCGCUUACAACUGUUUAAGCACAACUCCUGUUAACAUAUAUCUGGACUUCAUGUUAACACAGGGUCAGAGAGGUGAGUUAUAUACAGUGAAGUAAUAGUGAAUCACCGAACCUACCCAUAAUAGGGGGCCUCUAGACUUGCUAGACAUUAAUGGGGUACGACUGCUCUGCUUAAGCUGGUACAAGUGCAGUGCUCCGUGAAGACAGGAUGGGGUUUCUCUCUGUUCACAGCACAGAGCAUGCACUCCUGUCCUGGGCCACACGAAGGAUGUGCAAACAUGUGUAGAGGAAGGGGAAGGUUUGGGUGCAGCCAGGCAGCUGCAUCACUGCACCCGCUCUCAGGCUCCGUGCAGCAGAUAAGGGCUCAGGUAGAGGCUGGCGUGGGUUGGUGGCAUGUUGCCAGAGAAGCGAGCCAUGCUGGCAUCCAGCAAAUGCCGGUUCUAAUGCUGGGGCAGGGGAGGGUGGUUUGGUGCCGGUGUGAGGGCACAUGCCAGCGAACCCGCUGAUAAAUGGUAGGCUGGUCAAACCGGGGCAUGAGGAGGCUGAGUAUUUUUGGUAAAACAGGCAACUAGCUGAGAAGAAAGAGAGGCUGUUUUACAGGCAGAGAACUGAGACCGCGAUGAAGUGACUAAAUUAAACCUAAACGUGUGAGACAGCUGAGAAAUUAACUAACAUCUCCUUAUUCCCUGCCCAGGUUCUUAAAGCAGAUGGUGUUACGUGCUCCGCUCCGUCCCUACAGCCUCUGUGAGAGGCUCUCCCUGCCGACCAGUGUGCACUGCGUCGCGUGCUAAAAAAUACUGUGCAUGAUGAAAGGCUCGGAGCCAAUAGGGUUGUAGCAGCCUUAAUUAAAAGUGCAAUUAAAACCCCAGCAUGAGUUACUGUUAGCCAAAGGGGCUAGGAGAAACCAGAAUGUUGGUUUGUUUCUUUUUCGCCUUAAUAUAUUGGAGUUAGAAUGGAGCUAGAGAGAUAACAGGGCAAUUAAAAAUAUGAAAUGGAUAAAAUUAAUGAUGAGUCAAAGUGGCUGGGAGAGGUUGAUUUUUUAAUUAUUUUUUUUUACAUCUUUUUAUAAUGUAUUAAAUAAAGAAAAGAACUUUGAAUAAUCAGGAAGUCAGAAUGAUGCUGUAAAAUUAAUUGCUGAUUAGGAACACAGAAAGAGUAAUUGGAAAAUGUGAAAUAUAUGAUGUAAUGGCUCCAGCAAUACAUAUCUCAAAGGAUCUAGAAGAGUUGUGGAGUCUGAAUGGAUGUGACGGGGUGCUAUAGGGUGUUUGCAACAUCUGGCUUUAUGUGCUUAAUGGCAGUGCUAAGUUACAAGACUCAGCCCUCUGUAGUCACAGUGAGGAAGUCACCCUCAAAAGACAACAGUAUAAAUGAAGAUCCAGGAGUCUCUGAGGGGAGCCAACCCAUUCACCUGGGCAUCUGAACUGGUGCCUCAAUUCAGGUGAUGUGAAAUUCCCCCCUUAGUUUCACACUGCAACACUCUGUGGAGACACCAGGGGAAAUAAAGUGUUUUCCAUCAGAGAUGGAUGUGAUGAAACCUGCUGCUGCUGCUGCUACUGCUUGACUCAGGUUAUUACAGCGUUGUUAUUACCAGGACAUUAGAGCCUUACUGAUGCUGAGUUCACACUGGCUCUGUAUUCCCUUGACUCCAUCAGCUUCCAAAGGAAAAAAUGAAGGAAACUCUGAGACAGAAAUGAGGCAUCUUCAAAGGGCAAAGCUGCCACUUCAGUUGCUUGUACCAGCACUAAGCUCAGAAGAGUAAACUUCAAAGAGAGUGAAGCCUCUUUUCUUCAGCAGCUGGAUGAAGCAAACAUAACACAUAUCAGCACAGAUACGGUUUUCCUGACUCCGGAGCUCAGAAAACAUCUGUCAUACAUCUAAAGACUAGGAAAUCAAAAGUGAUUCCCUCUCAGUUUCAUUCUUGUGCCUUAAUCUUUUAAUCAGAAAUGAUCCCUGGCAAGAAUCUGUUCUGUUAACAGGAACGAGCAGAGAACUGUAGAGUUGGUGUACUUCAAAGAGCCCCUGAGACAGAAUUAAUCUGCUGAAGCAGCCUGUGGGAGGACGAGACAAUAAUAUGUCGAGAGACCAGUGGUUCACCCUUCCAUUGCGUACGAGCCUUGCCUUCUUCACUCAGUGCUGAAGAUUUAUGCAUCCUUCAUCAUCUGCAUCUGCUGCCUGGGCUCUGAAAGCAGCGCAGAGUGACUGUACACAGGGUAGCAUGGAGGGAGCGUUCCAGCGUUCCAGUCGUCGCAUAAGGAAAGCCCUCAUGUACUGGUGUGAAAAGAGAGGAAACAGCUCUGACAAGCAGACUGAGUAUGAAAUAUUAAAACACUGCCCACCCUGGCUACUGUGGGCUCGUAUCCAGCGUAAGUACAUCAUGCACUAUCAACGGGUGGCACCAGGGAGUUUAAGAAAGCAAGGGGGAAAGUAUUUUGCAUACAGUUUUUUUCCUACAGACUGCUAGUUGAAAACAAGCAUACCAAAACCACAGGAGAAAGUCUUUUCUUCGCUGCCCUGCCCCUCCUAAGCAGGCUAGCUGGGACUGAGCUGGCUGUGUGCUGCUGUUCCCAGCGGCACCCAGUGUCCACCCUUCCAGCUUCCCAGAAACGUCCCAGAGGAGGGCAGAGGAGUGGGCAGCAUGCUGGCAGCACGUUCCCUUCACCAUUUAGAACUGGAAUAAGGGUAGAGAUCUCAAGUUCCCAGUUCGGUCUAGCAACAGGCGUAGAGCCUCAUCACCUUCCUUCUCAGAGAUCAGCAAAAGCUGUCAGUGGGCAAGAUGGGACAACAGAAGACCCCAGGCCACUGAAUGGGAAAAUGAUCUUUAUAAAUGUCUGCUUCUGAGGCCUGCUCCCACUGGCCUCCACCCCACCCAUUAAAUCAGCUGGAAUCAGGCUAGGAACAUCAAAUCCCAGUGGCUUCCCCUGGUGGGUUCCUCCUAAUGCAUGCAUGCAGAGGAAGGCAGGAGAAGCUUGAGUGGCAGUUUUAACAGCUUUAGCCCCUCUAAAAAAAUCCGUGGCAGCCAUCAGUAGCACAUUUUUUCCUUAGCCUGUUUGCAGCCUUGAACUCCUGUGUACAUCCCACUUGUUAUUUUACAGGCAGUAUUUUGGUAUUUGGUCAGAAGGGAAGACCUACUGCAGGCAAAUGAAAGAUAGUGGAACAAAAUAUUUCCAUCUAAUUCUGCCAUGAACACCGGCUGCUCAUCUACAUGUUUCUUGUUCAGAAACCUUGGGAUAAAUUUGCACAAACUGUACAAAUGUGCACUGAGAAAGCAAGCAGUGCACCAGCUGGGAAAAGCAAGGACCACAGCAGAAAGACAAACUGGAACCUCUCGGUCAGUUUUGGUUUAAUACCUUGUACUUAGGUACACACAGUGUUCCGUUAACUCCUCUAACUUGGUCUCAGUGUAAUUCCUGUGACUUUACUGGCUUUUCCUCUUGUUUCAGCAGAAGAUACAGGAAAAGAGGCACAGCUUCUUCCUCCCCAGGACAUGGAAUGCAUCGCGCUCUGCCCUAGCGAGGAUGCUACUCCCUGAUGUGGUCCCUCUUCCGCAUUCUCAGGGAUCAGACCCACUUUAUAAUGACCAUCUGCAACAACCUCUGAGAUUCAGAGAACCUCCCCACUCAAAUUCCCCCAUUUACUUGUUGCUACUGAGAAGAAUCUUAUGAAAAGCCACAGGCCUUUGACAGCUGCAUGCCACCGAGCUAUUCCCAGAGCAGGGUAAUGACUGUCUCACCAGUGCGGUACGGCGGAGCACUGGGGGAAUGGAUGUGGGGACUUGCCAUUACAAAGAUAUGAGAGAAAUGAAGUGCCAGUCCACAGAGGCCUCGGUGUUGGGGUGAACGAUCACAUUCCCAUUUCAGUUCUUAAUUGCACAAUGAGCAGGAGGAAAUGGAGUAGAUCCAGGGGGAUCUGCAAAGGAAGAAAGUAAAUUCUCAGCCAGAGCUUGCUGCAGAGAAAGGCUCUUCUUCAGCGCAUACAUUUUCAGCAUAAGCAGCAGCUGGAUAUAAAGAAAGCCAUUUUUGUAGGGAAGCCCCUAGAAAAACCGGUGAUUCGAUUCUGCUUUCACUUACUUGAGUGGACCAGCCCCAGUGACCUCCCCAGAAGAGGGGUCUUUGCUGAGCUGGACAUAGGGAGAGGUGAACUGGGGUGGGAAGGCAGGGAGGGAGAGGCCAGGCAGUUGCACGGUGCCCCCCUGCAGCGUGCUGUGCCGUGGCCGCUGCUGCAAAAACUGGCAGCAAGAAAGGCUGCAGUCCUCAAAGCUUCUGCCCUGCCUGGUUUAGGGCUGAUGUAUAGAUGCUCUCUGCCUAUAGAGGUGUCCCACCUACUCACGGAGGAUCUUUAGCCUCCCAGCAUACCAUGAGGUUCAGCUGCAGUGGAAGGGAUGCCUUAGUUCACUUAAGCGAUGGCUUAUAGGACUGACCCACUCACUAGUGUAAUCUACACAAGUCAGAAAAGCCCGUGCUGUGGGAGCAGCUCUGUAGAGGAAUGCCAGUGUGCAGUGACUGUGACGUGGACCAGACGGGGGGGAUCUUUACACAGGGCCUUUAAAAUAGACGGGAGGCUGAUUUCCCAGUUUACCCUCUCACAUCUGUAGGUAAAUCACAGCAGGUUUUUGGCGUUUUGUAUUGAGAUGCAACUGACUCUAUCCAGUGACUGAGUUAUCCUUUGACACUUGCUUGAAAUAAUAUAAACAGAAAGUGAAAUCUGUUUUACUGUUUUGUUUUUUGUUGGGUUUUUUUGUGGGUUUUUUUUUAAAUUUAUAUGAGUUCUUGAGGUUUUGAUCAUAUUUUAAUGGAAGGUCUAAUUAGUGGGUAAUUGUUAAAGGUGAGAUACUGCAGAUGCAAUUCAUUAAAGCUCAAAUGUUAAACUAUUAAUACGUGUGUAGCUGUUGGAAAUGAGAAACAGAGACAUAAAAUAAUGUGUGCUGGAUCUACUGUCUCUGCAUUGCAGCUCUAGCAUGCAAUAAAUGGCAUUCUUUUCUUCUUUUUCUCUUCUAAAAAAUGUACUACUUUUACCAGAUCAGUGAAUCACUAGAUGUUAUUUUUCUCCUUCUGCUGGAUCUGCAAUAAGCACAGCAAGGAAAUCCUGCCUCUCAGUACAUGGAAGUUUGUGAUCGUUAACAGAUGGAAUGGUGGCUAUAGAGAUGCUGUAUGUUCCAACACUUUGUUCCACAUCACUGUUUCUACACCUUUAUGUGUAUUUGGUGAACAGUUGUGGGUGUUGUUUUUUUUUAAUAAAGAGGAUGUCUGAUUUCCAAAAUUAGAGAAUCAUCUGUUACAUUAUCAUUACAAGAAUCA